UAGGGAAUCUUCGGCAAUGGGGGCAACCCUGACCGAGCAACGCCGCGUGAGUGAAGAAGGUUUUCGGAUCGUAAAGCUCUGUUGUAAGUCAAGAACGAGUGUGAGAGUGGAAAGUUCACACUGUGACGGUAGCUUACCAGAAAGGGACGGCUAACUACGUGCCAGCAGCCGCGGUAAUACGUAGGUCCCGAGCGUUGUCCGGAUUUAUUGGGCGUAAAGCGAGCGCAGGCGGUUUGAUAAGUCUGAAGUUAAAGGCUGUGGCUCAACCAUAGUUCGCUUUGGAAACUGUCAAACUUGAGUGCAGAAGGGGAGAGUGGAAUUCCAUGUGUAGCGGUGAAAUGCGUAGAUAUAUGGAGGAACACCGGUGGCGAAAGCGGCUCUCUGGUCUGUAACUGACGCUGAGGCUCGAAAGCGUGGGGAGCGAACAGGAUUAGAUACCCUGGUAGUCCACGCCGUAACGAUGAGUGCUAGGUGUUGGAUCCUUUCCGGGAUUCAGUGCCGCAGCUAACGCAUUGAGCACUCCGCCUGGGGAGUACGACCGCAAGGUU
RNAcentral lists this ribosomal RNA (548 nucleotides) under uncultured bacterium. Its description in RNAcentral is "bacterial SSU rRNA". It matches the Rfam family "Bacterial small subunit ribosomal RNA", at positions 355 to 895 of the family's 1533-position model. The record is from RNAcentral.